CAUGUAAACUUGUAAUUUUUCCUGGCUGCCUAAUUAUCUAUUUUGUUAAUCUACUAAUUAUGACAAUACACAGUUUUGUGAAGCAUAUUCUUCAAAAUGGAACUCCUGGGCCAAAAUAUGAAUUUGGGAAUACAUUGCUCUUUUAUUUCUGAGUAAAUUUAGUUACAAACAAUGCAUAGGACACCCUGAUCACUCACACAAAUCACCUCCAGUGGAGAACAACACAAGAGCCAGAGCUUCUGUUGGACUCUGCUGUCAGACAAGUUAUUUUACAUGGGCCAUUUGUGUUUUUCAUGGGAAAAGUCUUUUUAAUUGAUUUAUUCAUUAAAUGAUAAAUGUAUAAA
Marmota flaviventris (yellow-bellied marmot) is the source of this 344-nucleotide long non-coding RNA. RefSeq lists it as uncharacterized. Lineage: Eukaryota; Metazoa; Chordata; Mammalia; Rodentia; Sciuridae. The record is from RefSeq and is a predicted model, not a curated record.